Molecule: ribosomal RNA, 253 nt
Filed under: uncultured bacterium
Lineage: Bacteria
Description: partial 16S ribosomal RNA
Rfam family: Bacterial small subunit ribosomal RNA
Source: RNAcentral
UAUGUAGGGUGCAAGCGUUAAUCGGAAUUACUGGGCGUAAAGCGUGCGCAGGCGGCUUUGCAAGUCAGAUGUGAAAUCCCCGGGCUCAACCUGGGAACUGCAUUUGUGACUGCAUGGCUAGAGUACGGUAGAGGGGGAUGGAAUUCCGCGUGUAGCAGUGAAAUGCGUAGAUAUGCGGAGGAACACCGAUGGCGAAGGCAAUCCCCUGGACCUGUACUGACGCUCAUGCACGAAAGCGUGGGGAGCAAACAGG